UAGGGAUCCGAGCGUUAUCCGAUUCACUGGGCGUAAAAGCGCGUGCAGGCGGUCUGGUAAGUUGGAUGCGAAAUCUCCUGGCUCAAACUGGGAGGGGACCGUUCAAUACUGUCAGACUAGAGGGCGACAGAGGAAGGUGGAAUUCCCGGUGUAGUGGUGAAAUGCGUAGAUAUCGGGAGGAACACCAGUGGCGAAGGCGGCCUUCUGGGUCGCACCUGACGCUCAGACGCGAAAGCUAGGGGAAGCGAACGGGAUUAGAAACCCCGGUAGUCCUAGCCGUAAACGAUGUAGACUUGGUGUCGGUGGGAUAAAAUCCGCCGGUGCCGAAGCCAACGCGAUAAGUCUACCGCC
This 351-nucleotide ribosomal RNA is filed under the name uncultured bacterium. RNAcentral's name for it is "bacterial SSU rRNA". It matches the Rfam family "Bacterial small subunit ribosomal RNA", at positions 527 to 873 of the family's 1533-position model. The record is from RNAcentral.